This 468-nucleotide ribosomal RNA is filed under the name uncultured bacterium. RNAcentral's name for it is "partial 16S ribosomal RNA". It matches the Rfam family "Bacterial small subunit ribosomal RNA", at positions 28 to 507 of the family's 1533-position model. The record is from RNAcentral.
GACGAACGCUGGCGGCGUGCUUAACACAUGCAAGUCGAACGGAAAGGCCCUGCUCUUGUGGGGUGCUCGAGUGGCGAACGGGUGAGUAACACGCGUGUAACACGUACCUGACUUUGUGAUAACUUCAGGAAACUGCGGCUAAUACCGGAUAGAAGCUCCUGCAGCACGGUGGGGGAUGGUGAGUUUCGGCGGUGGGGGCUGGAUUCGCGGCUUAUCAGCUUGUUUGUCGGGUAGUGGCUUACCAAGGCUAUGACGGCUAGCCGGCCUGAGAGCGUUACCGGCCACAUGGGUACUACGAUACGCCGCAGACGCCUACCGGAGGCAGCAGGCGGAAGCAUGGCACAACAGGCGCAAGCGUGAGGCAGCAGUGCCGGGUGCGGGAUAACGUGCUUCGAGUUGUAAACAGAUGUCGCCUGAGCCGAGGCGGUAGUGACGGUAAUGAGUAAGAAAGCACCGGCUAACUACGUG